This 381-nucleotide ribosomal RNA is filed under the name uncultured bacterium. RNAcentral describes it as "bacterial SSU rRNA". It matches the Rfam family "Bacterial small subunit ribosomal RNA", at positions 29 to 429 of the family's 1533-position model. The record is from RNAcentral.
AGCGAACGCUAGCGGCGGGCCUAACACAUGCAAGUCGAGCGGAGAACUUCGGUUCUUAGCGGCGGACGGGUGAGUAACGCGUAGGUAAUGUGCCUUCUGGUGGGGAACAACCGUGCGAAAGCAUGGCUAAUACCGCAUAUGUCGAGAGAUGAAAGCCUUCGGGCGCCAGUAGAGCAGCCUGCGUCCCAUUAUUUAGUCCUAGUUGGUGAGGUAACGGCUCACCAAGGGUACGAUGGGUAGCUGGUCUGAGAGGAUGAUCAGCCACACUGGAACUGAGACACGGUCCAGACUCCUACGGGAGGCAGCAGUGGGGAAUAUUGCGCAAUGGGCGAAAGCCUGACGCAGCCACGCCGCGUGAGUGAUGAAGGCCUCGGUUGUAAG